UUAAAACCAAUGGAAGAUGGACAAGAAAAGUUCAAAGUCAUCAGGUGCUCAGUUUAGAAAAAAGAGAAAAGAAGAGGAAGAGAAACGAACAAAAGAUACAGAUAAGCAGAUGUGUGAUUGGAUAAUGGCAGGUCAUCCUGAAACAAUCAGAAUCAGAAUACUUUAUUAAUCCCUAAGGAAAUAAUGUGGGUUACAGUUGCCCCAAGAAGAAAUGGUAAAAAUAGUAACAGUAACAGACUAAACUCCAAACAAUACAUUAUGUUACAGAUUUUAAUAUUAAUUAGUCAGUGUCAAUUGUUGAUUUGUCCUGUUCUCAUUGUAUGACGAAUUAUGAUGGCUGUUUGGUAGCCGUUUGCAUACUAUGCAUACUCUCUCUCUCUCUCUCUCUCUCUUCAUAUGUGUGUGUGGACAACAGUUUUAUGUUAAUGUACAAUCCUUAACAUGUUUUGUGUGUGUGUGUGGGGAGGGGGGGCGCCAGAGGGAGUGUUCGCCCAGGGCGCCAAACAGGCUAGGACCGCCACUGCCUGCUAGAUUGUUCAGAAGGUUGUUAUCAUCCAUCCAGAUGGAGGAUCACUGACAGGAGCGUGGGAAGACUCCAGAAUCCACUCUGGCUGGAAUCCGGUGGAUACAGCAGUGUUACAGAUGGAGGAUCACUGACAGGAGCGUGGGAAGACUCCAGAAUCCACUCUGGCUGGAAUCCGGUGGAUACAGCAGUGUUACAGAACAGUUCUCCACAGUCACUGUCCACAUGGGUCAGUGGGACCAAGCAGCACUCUGCUAAUGUGUGGACUCUGACCAGCAACAUCCAGCAAGACCCAGACAGCGUUUUCUAUCUCCCAGCUGGAGUUUUUUGUUUGUCUGUGACUGGAGAGUCAGAUUUUUGUUGAGGCUGGAGGAACAGCCUCACACUGGCAGAGGUAAGUCAGUUUGCAGAGAUCCCUCCCUCCAAGCGGAAGCGAAUGGAUGGAUGGAUGGACACAGUAAUGUGAAGUAUGCUUAUAUCUAGUAUAACUGAACCAACGUGGUGCUCUUCAUUUAUGGAGGCUGUUUGAGUCUGAAUGUUGGAUGUUGUGUAUCUCGUGUUCUCUGGGCUUUGUUGUCCUCAGUCUCUUUGCAGGAUCAGAAAACAAAACCAGGAGGCGCGUAAAUGUUUCUUCUCCAAUUGGAUGAUGAUAAGACCAUGACACGGGAUGCCACCUUUAGUCUUCUGAUGAAGCAAAGCUCAGGAAGAAGUGUGAUUAAAUGGUAUCCACAUGUGUGCUGCUGAGGAGGAUGUACAGGGGUACCUGCAGCCAAAUCCAAGCCUCUUCAGCAACAGAUGGUGACGGUGUGGAGAGACGGUGGUGUUUCCUCAGAAGAACUAGCAGAGUCACAAAGGGCACCAGUCCAUCUCACCGCCUUGACUUGCUGACUGAUGCUUGUCUGCACCGCACAUUCCCCCCCCUCUGUCCCCUUCUGGCUGCCUCUGCCUCAAUUUUAUCCCACAACUUAGACAUUCACAUUACUCACACUCUCAUUACACAUACAUAUAGGAUCUUGGGGUGGGCACGCCACACAGAAUCCAAAUUACCAUCAGGGUGUACACCUCACCCCCUGGCGCGUUGCCCACCUCUCAAUUUUAAAUACACGUAGACAUUGAGGGCUAGCAGGAGGGGCUAUGCGCCUACCUGCUGCUCUGGCAGGUAGCUCCAUGCCCUCCUGGGUUUUAAAUGCACCUUAGAACACACAUACAUCAACACUACAUAUGAGC
Molecule: long non-coding RNA, 1750 nt
Organism: Oreochromis aureus
Lineage: Eukaryota; Metazoa; Chordata; Actinopteri; Cichliformes; Cichlidae
Source: Ensembl